This 562-nucleotide long non-coding RNA is filed under the name Medicago truncatula (barrel medic). Its description in RNAcentral is "lncRNA gene15322". Lineage: Eukaryota; Viridiplantae; Streptophyta; Magnoliopsida; Fabales; Fabaceae. The record is from RNAcentral.
UUCAUAAAAAUAAUUAUAAUAUUCUUUAUUGCCUUAAUUCAUUUUAUUACCAACAUCAUAGAAUACAAAGCCACAGUUGCAAGGUCCUUGAAAUUAUAAAAACAAAAAUAAAUAAAAAUAUAACAAUUAUUGGAUACCCUUACAAUAACUAAAAAGAAACUAUGGAAUAUUCUAGUGAAAUGUAUAUUGCAUAGUUUUUCCUAGUGUAAGGACUAUUCUUCUCUGCAUGGCGUAAAUGUACUCUGCUAGGGCUCGUACUCAACAACCAAAAGGUGGUUCCAAUCUAGAAUAUAUACAUCGGUUCGAUUCGCACCUUACAAAGGGAUUCGAAAUAUCUGGUGGACAAUCAUUAACAUCGUUGCAAUGUAUUGCUGUAAUGAAAAAACAAAAUAAAAUAAUAUUACUAAAACGAGAUAAAAGAUUGUGUACGAACUAUAAUUAAAAAAGAAAAUUUGAAAAGGAUAAGAAAAUAUAUUACCAUUAAUGUUUUUUGCAACAAGAAAUAAGGAGAUACAUAAAAUCAUAUAAUACACGAAUUGGAGAGUUUUAGCCAUUUAUUUAU